GCCUGACUGGCUUAGUUGGUGGAGUGUGAGACUCUUGAUCUCAGAGUGGUGAGUUCAAGCCCUGUGUUGGGUG
RNAcentral lists this transfer RNA (73 nucleotides) under Ailuropoda melanoleuca (giant panda). It matches the Rfam family "tRNA". From Rfam's summary of the family: Transfer RNA (tRNA) molecules are approximately 80 nucleotides in length. Their secondary structure includes four short double-helical elements and three loops (D, anti-codon, and T loops). Lineage: Eukaryota; Metazoa; Chordata; Mammalia; Carnivora; Ursidae. The record is from Rfam by way of RNAcentral.